CUUCAAGACUUAGCGCUCCAGGGAAAAAGCCACUGCUUUCGGCUGUCUCUCUGGGGCUUCGGGAAGGUGCGCGUGCGCAAAUCGCCUCCGUCGACUCCCUUCUCAGAUUGAGGGAGUUGGCGCCUCUCGGCCCUCCUGGCUCUUUUACAGAGAUUAUCAGAUCGGCGUAAGAUCUGGCAUUGCCUGGACGUCCAGAAGGAGCAUCUGAGAGGCGAAUGCAGCCGUUUGUCACAGUCAAAAGUGUUGUUACCUACAAAGUUCACGCCGAAGAACUGCACGGUUCAGUGACAGAUCCUGUCUCAAAAAAUAAGGUUGAGAGUGAUUAUAUGAAGAUUCCAGACCUCCACCACACAUAACCAAGAAAAUUUCUGAGGUCAAGUCCACGAUCAUCACGGUGGGGAGCGUGGUGGCACAAGCGUAGGCCUGGCACUGGAGCAGGAGCUAAGCUCUUACAUCUUGAUCUGCAGGGUCUCAUUAUGUAGCUGUGGCUAACCUGAAACUGAACUAUGUGGGCCAGGAUGGCCUUGAACUCACGAAGAUCCACUUGUCUCUGCCUCCCGAGUUCUGGAUUAAAGGAGGGGAUGAGCACGGACCAUAGCACGAGAGGUCAGAACAUUCCGAGGACGGAGACUGGGACCCAAUUUACACAGAGCUACCAAGAACAGCUGGACAGCAGGCAUUUACAGAAACAUCUGGAGCCAUGAAGUGCCCCACCUGACCAGAGGGAAAGUUUAGUAUUUUAUUUUGUUUUAGUUUUUGCUGAAAGGUUGAAUGAUUUGGUAAAUAAAAUAGUAAAUGAA
This is a long non-coding RNA of Mesocricetus auratus (golden hamster), 800 nucleotides long. RefSeq lists it as uncharacterized. NCBI's taxonomy places the organism in Eukaryota, Metazoa, Chordata, Mammalia, Rodentia, Cricetidae. The record is from RefSeq and is a predicted model, not a curated record. The transcript is spliced from 5 exons.